RNAcentral lists this ribosomal RNA (822 nucleotides) under alpha proteobacterium SCGC AAA298-I19. RNAcentral describes it as "SSU rRNA". It matches the Rfam family "Bacterial small subunit ribosomal RNA", at positions 35 to 910 of the family's 1533-position model. The record is from RNAcentral. Lineage: Bacteria; Pseudomonadati; Pseudomonadota; Alphaproteobacteria.
GCUGGCGGCACGCCUAACACAUGCAAGUCGAACGAAGUAGCAAUACUUAGUGGCAGACGGGUGAGUAACAUGUAGGUAUCUUCCCUUUGGCCUGGAAUAACACGAGGAAACUUGUGCUAAUACCGGAUAAGUCUUUACGGAGAAAGCUUUAUGCACCAUUGGAUGAGCCUGCACUUGAUUAGUUAGUUGGUAGGGUAAUGGCCUACCAAGACUUUGAUCAAUAGCUGAUUUGAGAGGAUGAUCAGCCACAUUGGGACUGAGACACGGCCCAAACUCCUACGGGAGGCAGCAGUGGGGAAUCUUGCACAAUGGAGGAAACUCUGAUGCAGCGAUGCCGCGUGAGUGAAGAAGGCCUUUGGGUUGUAAAGCUCUUUCGUCGGGGAAGAAAAUGACUGUACCCGAAUAAGAAGGUCCGGCUAACUUCGUGCCAGCAGCCGCGGUAAUACGAAGGGACCUAGCGUAGUUCGGAAUUACUGGGCUUAAAGAGUUCGUAGGUGGUUGAAAAAGUUGGUGGUGAAAUCCCAGAGCUUAACUCUGGAACUGCCAUCAAAACUUUUCAGCUAGAGUUUGAUAGAGGAAAGCAGAAUUUCUAGUGUAGAGGUGAAAUUCGUAGAUAUUAGAAAGAAUACCAAUUGCGAAGGCAGCUUUCUGGAUCAUUACUGACACUGAGGAACGAAAGCAUGGGUAGCGAAGAGGAUUAGAUACCCUCGUAGUCCAUGCCGUAAACGAUGUGUGUUAGACGUUGGAAAUUUAUUUUCAGUGUCGCAGCGAAAGCGAUAAACACACCGCCUGGGGAGUACGACCGCAGUAACUCAAUGAUAG